AAAGCAGUGCGAGAACUAUUUAA
Molecule: unclassified non-coding RNA, 23 nt
Filed under: Arabidopsis thaliana (thale cress)
Lineage: Eukaryota; Viridiplantae; Streptophyta; Magnoliopsida; Brassicales; Brassicaceae
Source: RNAcentral